Molecule: ribosomal RNA, 916 nt
Filed under: uncultured archaeon
Lineage: Archaea
Description: bacterial SSU rRNA
Rfam family: Archaeal small subunit ribosomal RNA
Source: RNAcentral
UUUCCGGGUUGAUCCUGCCGGGACUGACUGCUAUCGGAUUGAUACUAAGCCAUGCGAGUCAUUGUAGCAAUACAAGGCAGACGGCUCAGUAACGCGUAGUCAACCUACCCUAUGGACGGGGAUAACCUCGGGAAACUGAGAAUAAUACCCGAUAGAACAUUAUGCCUGGAAUGGUUUAUGUUUCAAAUAAUUUAUUGCCGUAGGAUGGGACUGCGGCCUAUCAGUUUGUUGGUGAGGUAAUGGCCCACCAAGACUAUUACAGGUACGGGCUCUGAGAGGAGUAGCCCGGAGAUGGGUACUGAGACACGGACCCAGGCCCUAUGGGGCGCAGCAGGCGAGAAAACUUUGCAAUGUGCGAAAGCACGACAAGGUUAAUCCGAGUGGUUUCUGCUAAAGGAACCUUUUGUCAGUCCUAGAAACACUGAUGAAUAAGGGGUGGGCAAGUUCUGGUGUCAGCCGCCGCGGUAAAACCAGCACCUCAAGUGGUCAGGAUGAUUAUUGGGCCUAAAGCAUCCGUAGCCUGCUUUGUAAGUUUUCGGUUAAAUCCAUACGCUCAACGUAUGGGCUGCCGGGAAUACUGCAAAGCUAGGGAGUGGGAGAGGUAGACGGUACUCGGUAGGAAGGGGUAAAAUCCUUUGAUCUAUUGAUGACCACCUGUGGCGAAGGCGGUCUACCAGAACACGUCCGACGGUGAGGGAUGAAAGCUGGGGGAGCAAACCGGAUUAGAUACCCGGGUAGUCCCAGCUGUAAACUAUGCAAACUCAGUGAUGCAUUGGCUUGUGGCCAAUGCAGUGCUGCAGGGAAGCCGUUAAGUUUGCCGCCUGGGAAGUACGUACGCAAGUAUGAAACUUAAAGGAAUUGGCGGGGGAGCACCACAAGGGGUGAAGCCUGCGGUUCAAUUGGAUUCAACGCCGGA